This 248-nucleotide ribosomal RNA is filed under the name uncultured bacterium. RNAcentral's name for it is "partial 16S ribosomal RNA". It matches the Rfam family "Bacterial small subunit ribosomal RNA", at positions 85 to 334 of the family's 1533-position model. The record is from RNAcentral.
AAGAUGGCGACCGGCGCACGGGUGAGUAACACGUAUCCAACCUGCCGAUAACUCGGGGAUAGCCUUUCGAAAGAAAGAUUAAUACCCGAUGGUAUAAUCAGACCGCAUGGUUUGAUUAUUAAAGAAUUUCGGUUAUCGAUGGGGAUGCGUUCCAUUAGGCAGUUGGUGAGGUAACGGCUCACCAAACCUUCGAUGGAUAGGGGUUCUGAGAGGAAGGUCCCCCACAUUGGAACUGAGACACGGUCCAA